This 440-nucleotide ribosomal RNA is filed under the name uncultured bacterium. RNAcentral's name for it is "partial 16S ribosomal RNA". It matches the Rfam family "Bacterial small subunit ribosomal RNA", at positions 338 to 795 of the family's 1533-position model. The record is from RNAcentral.
CCUACGGGUGGCAGCAGUGGGGAAUAUUGCACAAUGGCGGAAAGGCUGAUGCAGCGACGCCGCGUGAGGGAAGAAGUAUCUCGGGAUGGAAAGCUCUAUCAGCAGGGAAGUAAAUGUCGGUACGUGAGGAAGAUGGCACGGAUAACUCCGGGACGGCAGCCGCGGUAAUACGUAGGGGGCAAGCGUUAUCCGGAUUUAGUGGGUUUAAAGGGGGCGUAGACGGCUGUAUAAGUCGGGAGUGAAAGGCCGUGGUUUAACCAUGAAACUGCCGUAGAAACUGUGAAGCUAGAGUGCAGUAGAGGUAAGGGGAAUGCGUAGUGUAGCGGUGAAAUGCGUAGAUAUCAGGCGGAACACCAGUGGCGAAGGCGGCUUACUGGGCUGUAACUGACGUUGAGGCUCGAAAGCGUGGGGAGCAAACAGGAUUAGAUACCCGUGUAGUC